GCUUGUCUCAAAGAUUAAGCCAUGCAUGUCUAAGUAUAGUACCUUAUACUGCGAAACUGCGAAUGGCUCAUUAAAUCAGUUAUAAUUCAUUUGAUGGUACUUACUACUCGGAUAACCGUAGUAAUUCUAGAGCUAAUACGUGCGUAAAUCCCGACUUCUGGAAGGGGUGUAUUUAUUAGAUACAAAACCAAUGCCCUUCGGGGCUCCUUGGUGAUUCAUGAUAACUAUACGAAUCGCACGGCCUUGCGCCGGCGAUGGUUCAUUCAAAUUUCUUCCCUAUCAACUUUCGAUGUUUGGGUAUUGGCCAAACAUGGUUGCAACGGGUAACGGAGGGUUAGGGCUCGACCCCGGAGAAGGAGCCUGAGAAACGGCUACUACAUCCAAGGAAGGCAGCAGG
This 397-nucleotide ribosomal RNA is filed under the name Sarocladium strictum. RNAcentral describes it as "partial small subunit ribosomal RNA". It matches the Rfam family "Eukaryotic small subunit ribosomal RNA", at positions 30 to 432 of the family's 1831-position model. The record is from RNAcentral. Lineage: Eukaryota; Fungi; Ascomycota; Sordariomycetes; Hypocreales; Sarocladiaceae.